AUUGAACGCUGGCGGCAGGCCUAACACAUGCAAGUCGAGCGGAUGAAGGGAGCUUGCUCCUGGAUUCAGCGGCGGACGGGUGAGUAAUGCCUAGGAAUCUGCCUGGUAGUGGGGGAUAACGUCCGGAAACGGGCGCUAAUACCGCAUACGUCCUGAGGGAGAAAGUGGGGGAUCUUCGGACCUCACGCUAUCAGAUGAGCCUAGGUCGGAUUAGCUAGUUGGUGGGGUAAAGGCCUACCAAGGCGACGAUCCGUAACUGGUCUGAGAGGAUGAUCAGUCACACGGGAAAUGAGACACGGCCCAGACCCCUAAGGGGGGCAGAGGGGGGGAAUAUUGGAAAAGGGGGGAAAGCCUGAUCCAGCCCUGCCGGGUGUGUGAAGAAGGUCUUCGGAUUGUAAAGCACUUUAAGUUGGGAGGAAGGGCAGUAAGUUAAUACCUGGCUGUUUUGACGUUACCAACAGAAUAAGCACCGGCUAACUUCGU
RNAcentral lists this ribosomal RNA (483 nucleotides) under uncultured bacterium. RNAcentral's name for it is "partial 16S ribosomal RNA". It matches the Rfam family "Bacterial small subunit ribosomal RNA", at positions 30 to 506 of the family's 1533-position model. The record is from RNAcentral.